AACUGAUCAGGUGGACAGGACGAAGUUCUCCUGGAACACUUCAUAUUACUUGUUACUACGUUGUGGAUAACUCUGUUUGUACUCCUUCUCCUCACUCUCUCCCAGCUCCAGUCACAGUGCUGAAUCAGAAACCGAGACUAAGCGUCAGUCAUGAUGGUCAGUUUGAUGUAUUCAGAUUUGUGUGUGAAAUAUCAGGGUCAGAGUCAGUAACUGCUGAUUUUAGCUGUAAUCUCUACACUGGAGAAAAUCCUCAGUUUUUCCUAAACCAAAGAUCUCUAAAGGGAAACUCUGUGAAGGUUUGUAGUUUUACAGCACAGAGAGACGCUGUGUUUAAUCGUCUGCAGUCAGUAAAGAGUCGUGAAGUGAGCUGUGAUUAUUCACUGAUCUCUGACCCGACUGCUCGCUCUCUAAUGAGUGAUAAAUACAACAUGAUGCAUGUCUUUACAACAACAAUAACAACAACGACUCAGACAUCCACUCCUGAAGAGAAACCCAGUGCAGGAACAACAGCAACAACAACAACAGCAACAACAACAAUAACAACAACAACAAUAAAGAGUGAUAAAUACAACAUGACACGUUUCUUUCCUACACCAACACAGCCGUCCAUCACUACUGAGAAAUCCACUGCAUAUGUUCCUCAGCCCCGGCUGACCGUGUCUCCUGAAGUUCUCACAGAGAGAGGAUCAGUGCAGAUUCACUGUCAUGUUCCAGACAAUGUUAAAGUGCAUCAGUGUUAUUUCUACCCAGAGAGAGACAACACAAAUCUAAAACUCUCUCCAUCAUGUCAGCUCUCAG
Ictalurus punctatus (channel catfish) is the source of this 798-nucleotide long non-coding RNA. NCBI's taxonomy places the organism in Eukaryota, Metazoa, Chordata, Actinopteri, Siluriformes, Ictaluridae. The record is from Ensembl.